Molecule: long non-coding RNA, 893 nt
Organism: Ruditapes philippinarum (Manila clam)
Lineage: Eukaryota; Metazoa; Mollusca; Bivalvia; Venerida; Veneridae
Exons: 2
Source: RefSeq, a predicted model, not a curated record
AAGCGUCUAAUUGGUGAGAAUGCUAUGGUAGAGGUAUUUUAAAGAGAAAUAUAAAUAAACAUUUAGGAAUACAUCAUUUGCAUUCAAACUUCUUUUGUCGAACGAGGACUCUCUAACAUUUUCAAAUAUUUGUUCAGCAUCAUUACCAUUGGAUAUUCUGAUAUAGCUUUAAGUGCAACUUAAUUACAAGAUGAAGAAAAUUAUUCAAUUUGUGCUCCUGUUUUGUCUUUUUGGAUUGGUGCUCAGCAAAAGUGUACCGAAUGCAGGAAACAAUGAAUUACUUAAAAAUACAAAACAUCUUGAAGACCAUCGCAUACGAAGACAAGCGAGUAGUGAGAAUAGAAAAUGGUAAAAGCGUAAAAAUUUUGCUGAAAAUAUUAACUCAAUUUAACGAGUAAAUAAACACAGCCGAUAUAUUGGACAAGAUGAUAUAAAUCUGUUUGAAUAUGAAAAAACAGCAAAAGGCAAAAGCAAAUGAAAAAAAAACAAAAACAAAAAAAAAAACAUGUUACAAUAUUACACAAUAUUUAAACUGUGUACUCAAUAUAUUUAUUCUGUAUGCAUAUUUUGUUGUCAGUGUUUAUGUUUGACUCCUCUAACUUCACUGAAACAAGACGAAAGUUAUUAAUUACGUAUAAGAAGUGAUAAAAUCGACUUUUGUUUCCCAACCAUAAAUUCUUUAUGAUUGUGUCAGUCAAAUUUAUCAAAAAUGAUAAACAAGAUCAACAAGGAAAGGUGGCGUUCAAUGAACGCAACCCCAAAAUUCGAUUUUGUUUCUUCAACAACUCGAUACUACAUAGAUCUAAUCUAUAUUUUGCUUUUCUUUACAUUCUCAUGUUUCAGUCGUUUAGAUAUACCAUUAUUAUUUGUUUUUAUUACAUACUUGCCCGCUU